AGGACGAACGCUGGCGGCGUGCUUAACACAUGCAAGUCGAGCGGAAAGGCCCUUCGGGGUACUCGAGCGGCGAACGGGUGAGUAACACGUGAGCAACCUGCCCUUAGCUUCGGGAUAGCUCCGGGAAACCGGAAUUAAUACCGGAUAUGACUAUGGCCGACAUCAGCCAUGGUGGAAAGUUUUUCGGCUAGGGAUGGACUCGCGGCCUAUCAGCUAGUUGGUGAGGUAACGGCUCACCAAGGCGACGACGGGUAGCCGGCCUGAGAGGGCGACCGGCCACACUGGGACUGAGACACGGCCCCAGACUCCUACGGGAGGCAGCAGUGGGGAAUAUUGCGCAAUGGGCGAAAGCCUGACGCAGCGACGCCGCGUGGGGGAUGAAUGCCUUCGGGUUGUAAACCCCUUUCAGCAGGGACGAAGCGAAAGUGACGGUACCUGCAGAAGAAGCGCCGGCUAACUACGUGCCAGCAGCCGC
Molecule: ribosomal RNA, 475 nt
Filed under: uncultured bacterium
Lineage: Bacteria
Description: SSU rRNA
Rfam family: Bacterial small subunit ribosomal RNA
Source: RNAcentral